UGGGGAAUCUUGGACAAUGGGCGCAAGCCUGAUCCAGCCAUGCCGCGUGAGUGAUGAAGGCCUUAGGGUCGUAAAGCUCUUUCGCCAGAGAUGAUAAUGACAGUAUCUGGUAAAGAAACCCCGGCUAACUCCGUGCCAGCAGCCGCGGUAAUACGGAGGGGGUUAGCGUUGUUCGGAAUUACUGGGCGUAAAGCGUACGUAGGCGGAUUAGUCAGUCAGAGGUGAAAUCCCAGGGCUCAACCCUGGAACUGCCUUUGAUACUGCUAGUCUUGAGUUCGAGAGAGGUGAGUGGAAUUCCAAGUGUAGAGGUGAAAUUCGUAGAUAUUUGGAGGAACACCAGUGGCGAAGGCGGCUCACUGGCUCGAUACUGACGCUGAGGUACGAAAGUGUGGGGAGCAAACAGGAUUAGAUACCCUGGUAGUCCACACCGUAAACGAUGAAUGCCAGUCGUCGGGCAGUAUACUGUUCGGUGACACACCUA
RNAcentral lists this ribosomal RNA (481 nucleotides) under uncultured marine bacterium. Its description in RNAcentral is "bacterial SSU rRNA". It matches the Rfam family "Bacterial small subunit ribosomal RNA", at positions 355 to 854 of the family's 1533-position model. The record is from RNAcentral.